Long non-coding RNA from Conger conger (European conger), 1254 nucleotides. RefSeq lists it as uncharacterized. The transcript has 2 exons. NCBI's taxonomy places the organism in Eukaryota, Metazoa, Chordata, Actinopteri, Anguilliformes, Congridae. The record is from RefSeq and is a predicted model, not a curated record.
GUGAACUUCUGCUUGGUGCUGCUAGAACUCUGGCCCAUUGAGUUUCAGAAGCUGGAUGAGGACCAUGAGGAGGAGAAAAAGCAGCACCAGCAGUUGGUCACCAACAUGAAGUUCAUUGAGGAACUUUUGAAAUUGAAGAUGAUGGAGGAGACUGUGAUCCACAAUGUCAUCGCAAAGCUGCUCAUCACCCAGAGUGAGGUGGCACUCGAGCGUCUGUGCUGCUUACUGUCUACCUUUGGCAGCACCCUGGACUGUGAUGAGGUAUUUCACCAGUGAGGUCAUAUCCCUCACACAGAUACGCUUAUACACAGACACCCAAGCAGUCUAACUGUCCCCACUGCUUCCCAUUUCAGCAGUACCUUAUGGACGGAUAUAUCCAUCAGACCAAAAGGAAGGAGAUGGAGAGACAUUCCUGAACAGAAAGAUAACAACAUAGCAACAGAAAGAACGAGACAAAGACUGGAGAAAUUUGAUCUCCUCCAUCAGAUGGAGGAGAUCAUCACCACGAAGCAGAUCUCAUCUCAAGUCUCCCGCCUAAUGCAGGACAUAGUGGCCCUGAGAAAGGUAUUAGCCCAAUUUGACCAACCCCAAAUGGUGUGCCCCCGCCACCUCCUAUGGGAAAUACUCAGUGUUAUCUUCUUCAUACUCAAUCUCUAACCCACUCUCUCCAGCUCCAUUGCUCUUCCUUGUUGUGUUUCUCACACAGCUAAAAUGUCCCUCUCUUGUAAAUGGUUGGCAUUUAUAUAGCGCCUUUAUCCAAAGCGCUGUACAAUUGAUGCUUCUCAUUCACCCAUUCAUACACACAGUCACACACUGACACACUGACACACUGACGCCAAUUGGCUGCCAUGCAAGGCACCAACCAGCUCUUCAGGAGCAUUUAGGGGUUAGGUGUCUUGCUCAGGGACACUUCGACACAGCCGAGGCAGGGGAUCGAACCGGCAACCCUCCGACUGCCAGACAACUGCUCUUACUGCCUGAGCCAUGUCGCCCCUCUCUUGUCUGCUUCUCUCUGUUCCAAAAUUAUUGGUUCCCACUGGCAGCUGCUGACAGCAACUGAAAUCAGACACAGCAACAAUAAGCUGCAAAAGAACAGUAAAAAUAAAAAUAAUAAUAGUGUAAUUCUAUUUUGUGUCAAAUACUGCAUUUAUUUCUUCUUCAUUUGUAUUUUCUGUUAAUUUCAUCUGGCAGUUCUGCUUGGAGCUUUCAGAAUGUGACUUGUACCACACACUAAUAAAGCUGCAUGCCAAAUUU